This 253-nucleotide ribosomal RNA is filed under the name uncultured bacterium. RNAcentral describes it as "partial 16S ribosomal RNA". It matches the Rfam family "Bacterial small subunit ribosomal RNA", at positions 524 to 776 of the family's 1533-position model. The record is from RNAcentral.
UACGGGGGGGGCAAGCGUUGUUCGGAAUUACUGGGCGUAAAGGGCUCGUAGGCGGCCAACUAAGUCAGACGUGAAAUCCCCAGGCUCAACCUGGGAACUGCGUCUGAUACUGGUUGGCUUGAAUCCGGGAGAGGGAUGCAGAAUUCCAGGUGUAGCGGUGAAAUGCGUAGAUAUCGGGAGGAACACCAGUGGCGAAGGCGGUUGCCUGGAGCUUUGCUGACGCUGAGGCGCGAAAGCGUGGGGAGCGAUCCGG